Molecule: transfer RNA, 74 nt
Filed under: Thermoplasmata archaeon
Lineage: Archaea; Methanobacteriati; Thermoplasmatota; Thermoplasmata
Also listed under: 2 other names
Description: tRNA-Gly
Rfam family: tRNA
About the family: Transfer RNA (tRNA) molecules are approximately 80 nucleotides in length. Their secondary structure includes four short double-helical elements and three loops (D, anti-codon, and T loops).
Source: RNAcentral
GCGAGGUUAGUCUAGUCUGGUUAGGACAUUAGCUUGCCAAGCUAGUAAGGCGGGUUCAAAUCCCGCACCUCGCA